Molecule: ribosomal RNA, 496 nt
Filed under: uncultured bacterium
Lineage: Bacteria
Description: partial 16S ribosomal RNA
Rfam family: Bacterial small subunit ribosomal RNA
Source: RNAcentral
GAUGAACGCUGGCGGCGUGCCUAAUACAUGCAAGUCGAGCGAACAGACGAGGAGCUUGCUCCUCUGACGUUAGCGGCGGACGGGUGAGUAACACGUGGAUAACCUACCUAUAAGACUGGGAUAACUUCGGGAAACCGGAGCUAAUACCGGAUAAUAUAUUGAACCGCAUGGUUCAAUAGUGAAAGACGGUUUUGCUGUCACUUAUAGAUGGAUCCGCGCCGCAUUAGCUAGUUGGUAAGGUAACGGCUUACCAAGGCAACGAUGCGUAGCCGACCUGAGAGGGGGAUCGGCCAAACUGGAACGGAGACACGGUCCAGCCUCCUACGGGAGGCAGCAGUAGGGAAUCUGCCGCAAUGGGCGAAAGCUUGACGGAGCAACGCCGCGUGAGUGAUGAGGGUCUUCGGAUCGUAAAACUCUGUUAUUAGGGAAGAACAAAUGUGUAAGUAACUAUGCACGUCUGGACGGUACCUAAGCAGAAAGCCACGGCUAACUACGU